GAGACAGCAGUAGCCGCGGUAAUACAGAGGGUGCGAGCGUUAAUCGGAUUUACUGGUCGUAAAGCGUGCGUAGGCGGCUUUUUAAGUCGGAUGUGAAAUCCCUGAGCUUAACUUAGGAAUUGCAUUCGAUACUGGGAAGCUAGAGUAUGGGAGAGGAUGGUAGAAUUCCAGGUGUAGCGGUGAAAUGCGUAGAGAUCUGGAGGAAUACCGAUGGCGAAGGCAGCCAUCUGGCCUAAUACUGACGCUGAGGUACGAAAGCAUGGGGAGCAAACAGGAUUAGAUACCCCGGUAGUCCCUGUCUCUUAUAA
RNAcentral lists this ribosomal RNA (308 nucleotides) under uncultured bacterium. RNAcentral describes it as "partial 16S ribosomal RNA". It matches the Rfam family "Bacterial small subunit ribosomal RNA", at positions 505 to 809 of the family's 1533-position model. The record is from RNAcentral.